Molecule: unclassified non-coding RNA, 338 nt
Filed under: soil metagenome
Description: partial contains 5.8S ribosomal RNA, internal transcribed spacer 2, and large subunit ribosomal RNA
Rfam family: 5.8S ribosomal RNA (bases 1-120)
Source: RNAcentral
GAUGAAGAACGCAGCGAAAUGCGAUACGUAGUGUGAAUUGCAGAAUUCAGUGAAUCAUCGAAUCUUUGAACGCACAUUGCGCCCUUUGGUAUUCCAAAGGGCAUGCCUGUUCGAGCGUCAUUUGUACCCUCAAGCUUUGCUUGGCGUUGGGCGUCUUGUCUCCAGUCCGCUGGAGACUCGCCUUAAAGUCAUUGGCAGCCGGCCUACUGGUUUCGGAGCGCAGCACAAGUCGCACUCUUUUCCAGCCAAGGUCAGUGUCCAACAAGCCUUUUUUCAACUUUUGACCUCGGAUCAGGUAGGGAUACCCGCUGAACUUAAGCAUAUCAAUAAGCGGAGGA